GCCAGCAAUCAUAUCACCCUGUAACUGACAACUGGCAGCCCAUUGAAGAUAAGCAGUUGUGAGCCUGGUCAGUACCUGGAUGGUAGACCUCCUGGGAAAAAAGGUUGCAGCUGUAA
RNAcentral lists this ribosomal RNA (116 nucleotides) under Lepisosteus oculatus (spotted gar). The record is from RNAcentral. Lineage: Eukaryota; Metazoa; Chordata; Actinopteri; Semionotiformes; Lepisosteidae.